AAGACCUUGCGCUUUUGGAGCGGCCGAUGCCUGAUUAGCUUGUUGGUAAGGUAAAAGCUUACCAAGGCUUCGAUCAGUAGCUGGUCUGAGAGGACGGCCAGCCACACUGGGACUGAGACACGGCCCAGACUCCUACGGGAGGCAGCAGUGGGGAAUUUUGGACAAUGGGGGCAACCCUGAUCCAGCCAUGCCGCGUGAGUGAAGAAGGCCUUCGGGUUGUAAAGCUCUUUCAGCCGGAACGAAACGGUUACGGUUAAUACCCAUGACUACUGACGGUACCGGAAGAAGAAGCACCGGCUAACUACGUGCCAGCAGCCGCGGUAAUACGUAGGGUGCGAGCGUUAAUCGGAAUUACUGGGCGUAAAGCGUGCGCAGGUGGUUUUGUAAGUCAGAUGUGAAAGCCCCGGGCUCAACCUGGGAACU
Molecule: ribosomal RNA, 423 nt
Filed under: uncultured bacterium
Lineage: Bacteria
Description: bacterial SSU rRNA
Rfam family: Bacterial small subunit ribosomal RNA
Source: RNAcentral